Molecule: long non-coding RNA, 1366 nt
Organism: Acinonyx jubatus (cheetah)
Lineage: Eukaryota; Metazoa; Chordata; Mammalia; Carnivora; Felidae
Exons: 2
Source: RefSeq, a predicted model, not a curated record
CCAGAUUAUGCCUCGUGUGCCUGGAAAAAUGAUAAGAGCAGACGUCUUCCUUGUUACCCGGGCCUCUGAUAACAAGCCCUCCUCUGUGCUUUCUUUUGGGAAGUUAUCUCUGAAGCCCUCAUGGGCUGAGGCCUCCUCCCAAGGUGAGCGCUGUCCCCUCUCUAUCCUGCCGGCUGCUCCCCGAGUGAACUCCCGUGUCUGAGGAAGGGCUAUUAUAAUUCCACUCGAAAGUGGCUGCAUUCGUCUUCAUCUCUCGGAAGUCACGUUUCCCUUGCCCUUGCGUUGAAGGCUUCUGAUGUUCAAUUACUCUUCCAUCUCCACACUGCCUGUGUCUCCAUUCAGCCUGCUGUCCCAAAAACAAUUAGACCGAGAAAAUGCUGCAGCUUGGAGGAACCAAGGCUAAUGAGGCCAGUGAGAAAAGGUUUCCCAAGCACUUUCAAACGUUGAGGCUUUUCUAAAAUAUGUUAUUUUUUUUCUUUGUUAAAAAGAAUUCUCUAAUGUGUUAGAUCACUAGCAUGUUCUACUCGCAGGGUCGGUGCUGCAGUUAAAGAGCCAAUCAGACAGAACUGCUUUACGACAAAAAAAGGACAGUCCAAACCCACAAAAUGUGGCCUAUUUAAAAAUGAACGGUCUGUGUAGAAAUGGCCCAAGAUUUUCAGUGUGGAAAGUCCAGAUCAGGUGUUUUACUUAAAAAAAAAUUUUUGGUUUAUUUAUUUUGAGAGAGAGACAGAGAGAGAAUCCCAAGCAGAGCCCGCUGCGUGCUUCGAACUCAUGAACCGUGAGACCAUGACCUGAGCCAAAAUCAAGAGUUGGACACUUAACCGACUGAGCCGCCCAGGAGCCCCAGCCAGUGUGUAUCAAAUUUAAAGCUGUCGUGAACAUGAAUGAGUUAAUGUCUGUGCCGGUCUUUGACUUCUGCAUGAAAGCACUGAAAAUUUGUUGUAUUAUUGUCAUCGUUUCACCUGCACUGAGGAAGCUCUAAAGUGGCGUUUGCUUCUACCCUUCAAAUACCAACAGAGAUUACUGUAAGUACAUCAAACAAAUGGAAAUGGCAUAGAAGAGGGAAGAAAAGAAGAUGGGAGGUAGCAGGGUAUAAUUACUUAAUAUCAGUCUCAGAGCUGCAGGUGGCAUCUACUCAGAAUAAGCUAAGGAGACAUAACCUGUGCUCUUUGAGAUUUUACCAAGUCACAUCAGAUAACCCCAGACAGAUCAAAAAAACAAAAGAAAACAAAGAAUCCAUAAACAUUAUGCUCAAGAAAAGGCACAGAUCUACUGGGAGGAAUAAGGGGUCAUGAAGGACUAUUACUAAACAUCUCACUUCUUUCUUAUCCCUGGAGGAAGAGACUCAAAGAGUGGCAUAUGUGGG